GCAGGCUGCAACUCGCCUGCAUGAAGUCGGAAUUGCUAGUAAUCGUGGAUCAGCAUGCCACGGUGAAUACGUUCCCGGGCCUUGUACACACCGCCCGUCACACCAUGGGAGCCGGUAAUACCCGAAGUCAGUAGUCCAACCUCGUGAGGACGCUGCCGAAGGUAGGAUUGGCGACUGGGGUGAAGUCGUAACAAGGUAAC
RNAcentral lists this ribosomal RNA (200 nucleotides) under uncultured bacterium. RNAcentral's name for it is "partial 16S ribosomal RNA". It matches the Rfam family "Bacterial small subunit ribosomal RNA", at positions 1300 to 1500 of the family's 1533-position model. The record is from RNAcentral.